GGUGUACGGUCCAGAUGUGAUCACGUUUAUCAAGAAAUGAUCCUAACGGUCCUCAAAAACCUAUAUAUACCCAUUGAAUUUGGCUCUCAUUUGCACCAUUUCCUUCAAAUCUGCUAUGAUCUCUAAUUUUUGAGGGUCUUGAACUCUUUUUGAGAACCUCCUUCAGUUCAUAGGACCUCUUGUCCCUUGGAUGUGUACUACGCGUAAUAGGCUGGUCACUCCUUAAGCAUCCAUAGAAGUCUCGCAAGCUUAGGAUGCAUGAAGUCUGUUGAAAUGAAGUUUCCUUUUUAUUUGAUUCUGCCUGUGGAUUCUAUUUCGACAUUUUGUGAUACUCGAAUAUUACAACAAUUUAAGUUGAAAUGAAUCUAUCUUUGCUUCCGCUGUGCAUUAUAAUUUGUGUUGUUUGACUAUGAU
This 414-nucleotide long non-coding RNA is filed under the name Helianthus annuus (common sunflower). Its description in RNAcentral is "sRNA HanXRQr2_Chr10g0454391". The record is from RNAcentral. Lineage: Eukaryota; Viridiplantae; Streptophyta; Magnoliopsida; Asterales; Asteraceae.